This 465-nucleotide ribosomal RNA is filed under the name uncultured bacterium. Its description in RNAcentral is "partial 16S ribosomal RNA". It matches the Rfam family "Bacterial small subunit ribosomal RNA", at positions 338 to 795 of the family's 1533-position model. The record is from RNAcentral.
CCUACGGGUGGCAGCAGUGGGGAAUCUUGCGCAAUGCUCGUAAGAGUGACGCAGCGACGCCGCGUGAAUGACGAAGGCCUUCGGGUCGUAAAGUUCUUUCGACAGGGAAGAAAAUGCCUAUAAGUAACUGUGUAUGUAUUGACGGUACCUGUAUAAGCAGCCCAGGCUAACUCCGUGCCAGCAGCCGCGGUAAUACGGAGGGGGCGAGCGUUGUUCGGAGGGACUGGGCGUAAAGAGCACGUAGGCGGUGUUGUAAGUCAUUAGUCAAAGACUAGAGCUCAACUUUAGUAAGGCUAGUGAUACUAUAAUACUAGAGUAGCAGAGAGGAUGGCAGAAUUCCUGGUGUAGCGGUGAAAUGAGUAGAUAUCAGGAGGAAUACCGUUAGCGAAGGCGGCAAUCUGGCUGGAAACUGACGCUGAGGUGCGAAAGCGUGGGUAGCAAACAGGAUUAGAUACCCCGGUAGUC